GUCUUAAGGGCUUAGAACCACUUUGAGCAUUUCUGGCUAAUGUCUGUAUUCUCUCGUCUGUGUUCCGUCCCACGCGUUGCGUUUUAGUACCUGAACGCUCCACUGGCAAAAAUCACUUAGCGGCUGACGAAUUGGAUGACAGACGCUUGGGAUAUUAUUAUAGACUAAAUUAACUGUAAACUAAUGAAAAUUAAAUUAUAUUUUAACCACGCGAUA
Long non-coding RNA from Drosophila navojoa, 216 nucleotides. NCBI's taxonomy places the organism in Eukaryota, Metazoa, Arthropoda, Insecta, Diptera, Drosophilidae. The record is from RefSeq and is a predicted model, not a curated record.